UGGGGAAUAUUGGGCAAUGGGGGAAACCCUGACCCAGCAACGCCGCGUGAGGGAAGAAGGUUUUCGGAUUGUAAACUUCUGUCCUCAGGGAAGAAGGAAGUGACGGUACCUGAGGAGGAAGCCCCGGCUAACUACGUGCCAGCAGCCGCGGUAAUACGUAGGGCGCAAGCGUUGUCCGGAAUUAUUGGGCGUAAAGAGCUCGUAGGCGGUUUGUCGCGUCUGCUGUGAAAACCCGAGGCUCAACCUCGGGCUUGCAGUGGGUACGGGCAGACUAGAGUGCGGUAGGGGAGACUGGAAUUCCUGGUGUAGCGGUGGAAUGCGCAGAUAUCAGGAGGAACACCGAUGGCGAAGGCAGGUCUCUGGGCCGCAACUGACGCUGAGGAGCGAAAGCGUGGGGAGCAAACAGG
RNAcentral lists this ribosomal RNA (407 nucleotides) under uncultured prokaryote. RNAcentral's name for it is "bacterial SSU rRNA". It matches the Rfam family "Bacterial small subunit ribosomal RNA", at positions 355 to 776 of the family's 1533-position model. RNAcentral also lists the same sequence under 1 other name. The record is from RNAcentral.